Molecule: non-coding RNA, 970 nt
Filed under: Platyrrhinus brachycephalus (Short-headed broad-nosed bat)
Lineage: Eukaryota; Metazoa; Chordata; Mammalia; Chiroptera; Phyllostomidae
Description: partial 12S ribosomal RNA
Rfam family: Bacterial small subunit ribosomal RNA
Source: RNAcentral
CAUAGGUUUGGUCCCAGCCUUUCUAUUGGCUGCUAGCAAAACUACACAUGCAAGUAUCCGCCCUCCAGUGAGAAUGCCCUACAAAUCACCUCAGUGAUAAAAAGGAGCAGGUAUCAAGCACACUAUCCAAGUAGCUCAUAACACCUUGCUCAACCACACCCCCACGGGAAACAGCAGUGAUAAAAAUUAAGCAAUAAACGAAAGUUUGACUAAGUUAUGCUUAUCUAAGGGUUGGUAAAUUUCGUGCCAGCCACCGCGGUCAUACGAUUAACCCUAGUCAAUAGACCUACGGCGUAAAGCGUGUUUAAGGAACUUCCCUAUAAAGUCAAACCUUAGCUAUGCUGUAAAAAGCUACAGCUACCGUAAGCCCUAGUACGAAAGUAACUUUAAAAUGCCUGAAUACACGACAGCUAAGACCCAAACUGGGAUUAGAUACCCCACUAUGCUUAGCCCUAAACUUAAAGAGCCCUUACAACAAGGCUCUUCGCCAGAGUACUACUAGCCAAAGCUUAAAACUCAAGGGACUUGGCGGUGCUUUAUAUCCCUCUAGAGGAGCCUGUUCUAUAAUCGAUAAACCCCGAUAAACCUCACCAACCCUUGCCAAACCAGCCUAUAUACCGCCAUCUUCAGCAAACCUUAAAAAAGAACCAUAGUAAGCCCAACCACAACUCGUAAAAACGUUAGGUCAAGGUGUAGCCUAUGGGUUGGAAAGAAAUGGGCUACAUUUCCUACCACUAGGAUAUUACCUUUUUAUACGAAAGUCCCCAUGAAAUCAAGGACUAAAGGUGGAUUUAGCAGUAAACUAAGAAUAGAGAGCUUAGUUGAAUAAGGCCAUGAAGCACGCACACACCGCCCGUCACCCUCCUCAAAUAUAUAACGGUACUACCCAACUCUAUUAUAACCUACCACAGUUACUAGAGGAGAUAAGUCGUAACAAGGUAAGCGUACUGGAAAGUGCGCUUGGACAACU